Molecule: long non-coding RNA, 707 nt
Organism: Schistocerca cancellata (South American locust)
Lineage: Eukaryota; Metazoa; Arthropoda; Insecta; Orthoptera; Acrididae
Exons: 3
Source: RefSeq, a predicted model, not a curated record
UCGCGGGAGUCGCGACAGAGGAGUGCUCGGAGGGUGCACGCGGAACACUGUCAACUGCUGUGUAAGCACUCCAAAGUAGCAAACAAGUAGUUCUGCACUGCAGUUAAUAACUCAGAUUCAAUGUAACAUAAAAUGAUGUAAUUAUACGUAAUGUAUAACAUGUUCUGGUGUUGAUGGGAAGACAACUGCAGUGAUAAAAGUACUGCAGUUAGAAAUGGACCAGAAUACCCAAAAGUUGUACUGUCAGGUUGACGAAGCAGAGUUCGCGCGGAAGAUUGGUGUCCUCCAGACUAUAAUAAUGUUUCAUAAAAAAAUGUAUCUUUCUGAACUGAAAGUCAACAAUGAUUGGAGAUAACUGCUGGAGAUUUAACAGAAAGGUACUGAAAAUGGCGCGAUCUCAAUCCUACCCUGUCAGACAAAAUUGGCGGGAAAUUCACGUGGAUGACGAGUGUCAUCCGCGCGAGUGACGGAGGGUUACGUUAAAAUGUUUCUGUACUCUUGUAUAAGCAUAUUUACUUUUUUUCUAGAAUACUAUACCUGUUUUACUAAUGUGCAGAUUAUUUUGUAUACUGCUUGUCUGUCAGUGAUAUAGUACAUAUGUAGAAGAGACAGAAAAUUUUAAUGUGUGCCCUGUGUAAUGAUGAAAAUUUGUUUCUUUAAACUAAAGUGAAAAUGAAAAGUACUGUAGAUGUCUUAUUAUGAAAAUG